This 475-nucleotide ribosomal RNA is filed under the name uncultured bacterium. Its description in RNAcentral is "bacterial SSU rRNA". It matches the Rfam family "Bacterial small subunit ribosomal RNA", at positions 28 to 545 of the family's 1533-position model. The record is from RNAcentral.
GAUGAACGCUGGCGGUGUGCCUUAAGCAUGCAAGUCGAGCGGGAUAGCAAUAUCCAGCGGCAGACGGGUGAGUAACGCGUAGGAAUCUACCUUAAAGUGGGGGAUAGCCAACCGAAAGGUUGGGUAAUACCGCAUGUGAUCGCAAGAUCAAAGCCGUAAGGCGCUUUAAGAGGAGCCUGCGUCCUAUCAGCUAGUUGGUGGGGUAAUGGCCUACCAAGGCGAUGACGGGUAGCCGGUGUGAGAGCAUGACCGGCCACAAGGUCACUGAGACACGGGACCUACACCUACGGGUGGCAGCAACUGGGAAUCUUGCGCAAUGGGCGAAAGCCUGACGCAGCGACACCGCGUGCGGGAUGAAGCUCUUAGGAGUGUAAACCGCUGUGGCGAGGGAUGAAUUUUUGACAGUACCUCGCUAGAAAGCACCUGCUAACCACGUGCCAGAAGCCUCGGUAAUACGUGGGGUGCAAGCGCUAUC